RNAcentral lists this ribosomal RNA (520 nucleotides) under uncultured bacterium. RNAcentral describes it as "partial 16S ribosomal RNA". It matches the Rfam family "Bacterial small subunit ribosomal RNA", at positions 355 to 864 of the family's 1533-position model. The record is from RNAcentral.
UGGGGAAUAUUGCACAAUGGGCGCAAGCCUGAUGCAGCCAUGCCGCGUGUGUGAAGAAGGCCUUCGGGUUGUAAAGCACUUUCAGCGAGGAGGAAGGUGGUGAGCUUAAUACGCUCAUCAAUUGACGUUACUCGCAGAAGAAGCACCGGCUAACUCCGUGCCAGCAGCCGCGGUAAUACGGAGGGUGCAAGCGUUAAUCGGAAUUACUGGGCGUAAAGCGCACGCAGGCGGUUUGUUAAGUCAGAUGUGAAAUCCCCGGGCUCAACCUGGGAACUGCAUUUGAAACUGGCAAGCUAGAGUCUCGUAGAGGGGGGUAGAAUUCCAGGUGUAGCGGUGAAAUGCGUAGAGAUCUGGAGGAAUACCGGUGGCGAAGGCGGCCCCCCUGGACGAAGACUGACGCUCAGGUGCGAAAGCGUGGGGCAGCAAACAGGAUUAGAUACCCUGGUAGUCCACGCUGUAAAACGAUGUCGAUUUGGAGGUUGUGCCCUUGAGGCGUGGCUUCCGGAGCUAACGCGUUAAA